Molecule: transfer RNA, 70 nt
Organism: Candidatus Photodesmus
Lineage: Bacteria; Pseudomonadati; Pseudomonadota; Gammaproteobacteria; Vibrionales; Vibrionaceae
Rfam family: tRNA
About the family: Transfer RNA (tRNA) molecules are approximately 80 nucleotides in length.
Source: Rfam
UUGAAAGCACCGGUCUUGAAAACCGGCAUAUGUGAAUAACGUAUCUAGGGUUCAAAUCCCUAUCUCUCCG